CAGAAGAUAGUUUAAAUAAAACCUAAACUUUGGAAGUUUAAAAUAGCAUUAUGUUUCUUCUGA
Molecule: transfer RNA, 63 nt
Filed under: Chonosia crassipennis
Lineage: Eukaryota; Metazoa; Arthropoda; Insecta; Hemiptera; Cicadidae
Description: tRNA-Pro
Source: RNAcentral